AUUAAAGCUGGAGUAGACAAGGCACUCAGGCAUCAAGUCCACCCCAUGGACCAGGGUUAUGCUAGAGAGGUAAAUCACCCAAGUCCAAAGGAGACAGGCCAGAGUUCUUUCAAUAUCUCUCCUCAUCUUAUAGUUAUUUAACCCUUCACUGAUCAGGAUUCUCAGGUUAACACUUGCACAGCCUUCCCACUGCUUCCCCUGGUGCUGACAGUGAGAAAUGCUCAGGUUUGUUUUAUUCUCAAAUAUUUUUCAUACUUUUUCCAACAAGUUUCACAGAGUUAGUUAAAGCUAUGUGAAUUACAACUUGAAAACACUUCCUAAUAAAUACAGAAGCUAUUAUUACAACUGUUUCACAGGAAAAGGUCACAGCCAGGCAUGGGAAACAUCUCUCCUCCCGACGGCUAACGCUCACUUGCUCAUUCUCGCUCUCCCUCUCCAGUUGUAUACUACUUACUGUUUGGUCAAGCUUUGAUAAUUUGUGACCUUAAGCACAAAUCAGAUCCAACUUAUAUAAGCAGAUGUUAGAGCUGAGCUCCAAAAAGUACUGGACAUCUGUAGCGCUUGACAUUCAAGCAUUUGGCAAGAUGUCAACAUUUCAUAGAGCACUUUAAAUGUUUUGGUUUGAGAGCUAAUGCAGCAUUUCCCACUGGUGAACACAAGCAGUCCAGGCAGAAAGUAAAGUAUGUUUCCCUCAACAUCAGAUGUUCCACUCAUCUGCUGAUCCGAUCUUACCUACAGAGACCAUAAAAGACUGGAAAAAACGGCUCUCUGUUGAAGAAAUGCUUUGGCCACUUCAAGAUGACAGGCAUUCACUGGGCUAAAUUACUUCACUGAAAGGAGACUGCAUAUUACACAAGAAUUUUUUAAGAGAAAGAAUUAUGGCACACCAAUAGGAUGGUGAAAGGUGGUCCACAUAUAAGAGAAAAACAGUUCAUUGUGUGUAAUCAUACAGAAGAUGCGCUAAACAUGUUUUACUAAGAUGAAUGUAUUUCUGGGAUGUGCAUUGCUUUGUAUAUAGCACUUGAUCAACCAGCUUUCUGCUCUAAAAGAGAGCCUUGAGGUUGUAAUACUCUACAACUUAAAAACAUUUUUAAUUCAGCCUCUAAGAUCUUAGAUUGCACUAAGGAUCAUGCGCACUCAUUACCCAGAUCAGAAUGCAUCUUUGGCAUUGAUAGUCUAUCCUUGCAAAAACUUAAGUGAUAGCAAUUUAAACAUUCCUAUUGAACUUUAAUAGAUGCCUUUUAGCCUCAUUAAUCCCAUACUGCCAUGUUCUUUAAUAUGUUACCAAAGACUCCAAAGUGAUGGUAGAUAGACUAAAACAUUUCCUGCCCUUUCAUUUUCAUUUGCAGUGAAAUGAUACCUCAUUUACCUGCAUUUAUGGGGCAGUAAAGAGAACUACUUAUGAGAAGUUGAACAUUUUACACUCCUAAGUACCCCUUUUAAAAAGUUUAGCCGCUGAAAGAAAUCUUUCUUAAAUGCAGUCAAAAGAACUUAGGGAGCAUCAUUUAAUUCAUCCAUAAUGCCUCAAGGUUAACAUGAUGACAUCCACUGCAGAAAUCCAGAGAUAAUCUCAGAAAUAACUACCAUGGGCAAGGCUGGCAACACCUCCCCACCAACUGGCUCUCCAGGCUGCCUGGCUUUUCAGUUUGUAAGGUUAUCAUCACCCAGCAGUCCUUUUAUGGGCUGGGAUAAGCUGGUUACAAAGUGAAUCAACUGGGUAAGCUCUUGGGGCAGAGGAGGAAAGGUUGUUGGGCCAGAUUCUUUGUAUUCUUUUGGAUUCUUCCGAUUCUUUUUCAGAUAGUUAACUUCAGAAUAAGUAAAGGGUUAUCAUCUUUUAUCCAUUUUUACUUUUUGUAUAAAAUCAGCAUCAGUAGGUGACUUUUUCCUCCAUUUGUGAACUGAUUUGAAGUUUCUGUAGGUCCCUUUAUCAGGACAUUAAAUCAUCUCUAUACUAGAGACAGAGAGAGGAAGCAGAUAUUUCAAGGCCAAAAUGAUACAUGCCUUUUUAAAUAAUAUUGUCCUGUUUUUCAUCCAACAUAUAUUCCUGCCUUUUGGCUUCACCUGCCCUAGCUUCCUCAAGAUAGUUUCUUUUUCACACGACUAUCUGUUGUUGGUUCCAUCUGGCCCACAGAAAAGGAUGCCACAGUCUGAGACACCUAAACCCAGAGGACAGAAUGACCUUACCUUCAACACCACCACUACAGGAAGCAAUAUUUAAAAGCUCAAAAACAACUACCACGGGUGCUUGAAAUUUAUUUUUAGCUCAUUGCUCAUUCUGAGUUCCUUUAAGAUGAAGAAAUUGGCCCUACCAUGAGCAUUUGCUGUAGCAAAUCAAACAGUGGUACAGGCAGCUGUGAUACACUACCAAUUCCUCCAACCAGCAUGUCGCAGACCUCAACGUGCAAUUGCUUCAAAAAUGCCAAAACAGCAAGAAAAUGUUUGGGCAAAAGACCCAAGCAAGUCUUCACUCUGUUCCAAGAGGCAUACCUCCUCAAGGUGUUGGCAGGGCUGCAUUCCCUUCUGGAGGCUCAGGAGAACCUAUUUUCUUGUCUUUACCAGCUUUUAGAAGCUGCCACAUUCCUUGGCUCAUGGCUUCCUUCCAUCUUCAAUGCCAGCAAUGGCCGAAGGAGUCUUUCUCACAAUGCAUCCCUCGGACUUUGAUUCUGUUGUCACAUCUCCUUAUCUGACUCUGACUCUCCUGCCUCCCUCUUUCACUUAUAAAGACCUUUGUGAUUACACUGAGUCCACUUGGAUAAUCCAGGGUAAUCUCCAUAACACAAGUCAGCUGAUUAGCACCCAUAAUUCCAUCUACCGCCUUCCCCCUUGCCAAAUAAGAUAACAUACUCACAGGGGUCUAGGACUUAAAUUAUGCUCAUCUUUAAGAGCCAUUAGUCUGCCUACCACUGAAUCAGUCAACCCCUUUUAAUGAUGUGCAUUAAUGAUGUGCAUUAAAAGGGCACAGAGCAUCAGAUUCUCAGCCUCUUGAGCAAUCUGAGAGCAUAUUUCUGUACCCAUCUCAUUAGGCUAUAUGCAGACAUACUGAGAGAACAUCUUUUUAUGGGUGUCUAUAAGUAAAGGAAUUUGGCUCUUAUUAAAUCAUUUCUGAGAAUUUCUUCACUAUUUCCUCUGGGAUUACAAAUUACACAGUAUUUCUCUCCCUUCUUCAAAAUAUAUUGACAAUAUCUACAUUUUUUUCAUUUUACAUUGUCAACUCAAAGGAAUCCAACAAAUACUGAGAGCCUACCAUGCAGGGUGACUGAACAGGGCUUGUGCUCCCAGCACAAGGACCACAAAUUAAGCUUGGUGAGCAUGCAGCAGCACGUAUCCUCUUUACCUCUGUGAGACUGGCUCGGACUAAAGUGUAAAUAAUCUUCUGGAGGCAAGACACAUUAUUUAUUAGAUACAGACUAUCACGCUGGACAGCUAAACAAGUAGAAAAUGUAGCCUCCCCUCACUCACUAUCUAAAAUAUGAAUGAUCCUAUGCAGAGGGCCAGAGAAGAUACAGAAAGAAGCAAACAACUACAAGUCCUCCUGCCCAGACCCAAGAGUGCAGGGGCUAAAGGGAAAAGGAGUAAAGUGGUAAUGAAAGGCUUCAUGGAAGAAGUGAUUUGGAGAUAACGUUUCCUUCCACAGAAGUGCAAUGAGUAGAAAAACUGAGGGACUGGAAAUGAUAUUUCUAGUUUUGUCAUAUGACAUACAUGAAGGAAGAGUACACAGAAACAAGAAAUAUUUGUGUGGGAAAUAAAACGCAAGUUUGCAUGGAUGUGAUUUUUUAAGGUAGAAUGUAACAAUUUCAUAUCCCAUAUUUACAAAUACCACUUUCUCACACUUCCUUAAUCUUACUGACGCAGCCCUUCAAUGAGUAUAAAGCACCAGACAUACAAAGAUGAACAAGACACAUUCUCUAGCCAACGAACUCAUUGUCCUCCACAACCUUUCUGUUCUCCCGUUACCUGAUUAGAUGUAAAUUUCUUAAGAGCAGAGAUUCAUGUUUUCUAUUCCCAAACUGCAUUUUUUAAAAUUAGAGAAGCUGCAUGCAUAAAAUGCAGAAUUCCCAUACACCACCCAAUUAACACCUUGCAUAUGUGUAGUACAUUCAUAAUAAUCAAUAAAAGCACAUUUUUAUCAUUGUACUCCUGCCUAUACCCCAUGGUUUAACUUAGGUUUCGCUGGUUGUGUUGUGCAUUU
Choloepus didactylus (southern two-toed sloth) is the source of this 4189-nucleotide RNA transcript. It is a transcript of the gene named purinergic receptor P2Y14, with no coding region annotated. The record is from RefSeq and is a predicted model, not a curated record. The transcript is spliced from 3 exons. NCBI's taxonomy places the organism in Eukaryota, Metazoa, Chordata, Mammalia, Pilosa, Megalonychidae.